UACGUAGGGGGCUAGCGUUGUCCGGAAUCAUUGGGCGUAAAGCGCGCGUAGGCGGUUUGUCGCGUCUGCCGUGAAAGUCCGGGGCUCAACUCCGGAUCUGCGGUGGGUACGGGCAGACUAGAGUGAUGUAGGGGAGACUGGAAUUCCUGGUGUAGCGGUGAAAUGCGCAGAUAUCAGGAGGAACACCGAUGGCGAAGGCAGGUCUCUGGGCAUUAACUGACGCUGAGGAGCGAAAGCAUGGGGAGCGAACAGG
This 253-nucleotide ribosomal RNA is filed under the name uncultured bacterium. Its description in RNAcentral is "partial 16S ribosomal RNA". It matches the Rfam family "Bacterial small subunit ribosomal RNA", at positions 524 to 776 of the family's 1533-position model. The record is from RNAcentral.